AUGCUUCAUGAAGAGCGUGAGCGCCAGCUUGGGCGCCACCGGGUGUCCCUGGACGACGUCGACGCGGUAGCGGCGGAGGAUGGAGGCGGCGGCGAACUUCAUCUGGUAGUAGGCGAAGUCCUUGCCGAGGCAGAGGCGCGGGCCGCCGUUGAAGGCGGUGAACUUGUAGGCGGACUCGCCCAUGAAGCGGCCGUCCUUGAGCCACCGCUCUGGCCUGUACUCCCUGCAGUCCUCCCCCCAGAUGUUCUCCAUCCUCCCCAUGGAGUACAUGGCGUAGAUCACCUUGGUGCCCUUCUUCAGCACCGUGCCGUCGGGGAACACCUCGUCCUCCACAACCUGAUCAUGGAUGGACGGAUCAUGAGAAAAUUAUGCACAGUACAGUUAUCAUGGUGA
Molecule: ribosomal RNA, 393 nt
Filed under: Triticum aestivum (bread wheat)
Lineage: Eukaryota; Viridiplantae; Streptophyta; Magnoliopsida; Poales; Poaceae
Description: partial small subunit ribosomal RNA
Source: RNAcentral